Dipodomys ordii (Ord's kangaroo rat) is the source of this 70-nucleotide non-coding RNA. The record is from Rfam. Lineage: Eukaryota; Metazoa; Chordata; Mammalia; Rodentia; Heteromyidae.
GGGAACGUGGCUCAUUGGUAGAGCGCUUGCCUUGCAUGCAUGAGGCCCUGGGUUCGAUUCCUCAGCACCA